GACGACGCUGGCGGCGUGCCUAAUACAUGCAAGUCGAGCGGAAUGAUGAAGAAGCUUGCUUCUUCUGAUUUUAGCGGCGGACGGGUGAGUAACACGUGGGCAACCUACCUUGUAGAUUGGGAUAACUCCGGGAAACCGGGGCUAAUACCGAAUAAUCCAUUUUGCUUCAUGGCGAGAUGUUGAAAGACGGUUUCGGCUGUCACUACAAGAUGGGCCCGCGGCGCAUUAGCUAGUUGGUAGGGUAAUGGCCUACCAAGGCGACGAUGCGUAGCCGACCUGAGAGGGUGAUCGGCCACACUGGGACUGAGACACGGCCCAGACUCCUACGGGAGGCAGCAGUAGGGAAUCUUCCACAAUGGACGAAAGUCUGAUGGAGCAACGCCGCGUGAGUGAAGAAGGUUUUCGGAUCGUAAAACUCUGUUGUAAGGGAAGAACACGUACGAGAGUAACUGCUCGUACCUUGACGGUACCUUAUUAGAAAGCCACGGCUAACUACGUG
Molecule: ribosomal RNA, 499 nt
Filed under: uncultured bacterium
Lineage: Bacteria
Description: bacterial SSU rRNA
Rfam family: Bacterial small subunit ribosomal RNA
Source: RNAcentral